RNAcentral lists this ribosomal RNA (301 nucleotides) under uncultured bacterium. RNAcentral's name for it is "partial 16S ribosomal RNA". It matches the Rfam family "Bacterial small subunit ribosomal RNA", at positions 509 to 807 of the family's 1533-position model. The record is from RNAcentral.
CAGUAGCCGCGGGAACACGGAGGGUGCAAGCAUUAAUCGGAAUUACUGGGCGUAAAGCGUGCGUAGGCGGUUCGUUAAGUCUGUUGUGAAAGCCCCGGGCUCAACCUGGGAAUGGCAAUGGAUACUGGCGAGCUAGAGUGUGUCAGAGGAUGGUGGAAUUCCCGGUGUAGCGGUGAAAUGUGUAGAGAUCGGGAGGAAUACCGAUGGCGAAGGCAGCCCCCUGGGAUAACACUGACGCUCAUGCACGAAAGCGUGGGGAGCAAACAGGAUUAGAUACCCCAGUAGUCCCUGUCUCUUAUAC